RNAcentral lists this long non-coding RNA (2122 nucleotides) under Homo sapiens (human). RNAcentral describes it as "non-protein coding lnc-IGIP-2:3". Lineage: Eukaryota; Metazoa; Chordata; Mammalia; Primates; Hominidae. The record is from RNAcentral.
CCAGAGGUGCAUUUUUCUUAUUUCCAUAUAGUAAAGUUGAGCUUUUACAGUGCAUAAUGUGACAUUUGGAAUGCUUAUCAACUGCAUGUAAACAUUAAUAACCUGCACUUUUUUGUCUUAAGGUUUGUUGAGCUGUUUUGUUCACUGUACUUUAACUGUGAUAUGGAAAAGACUGCAUUCUCUGUGCUGUUACUAAUUAGGAAAGAGAAUUGCUUUGAUUUUGUCUCUUGUUUACUAUAGCUUCUUAAAGUUAAGCCUUGUACUACAGGUUGUUGGAGUACUCCUAGAUCACUGUUUCAUAGUAGCCAGCAAUAAGUAGUGCAAGUCAACAAAAACACAGCAAACUUAGGCAAAGUGUCCUUUCUUUGAGAUGCGAGUUCUUUCAUGAGGUUUUCUUUAGGGCCAGAGUUACCUAAAGUGAAGCCUUUCUUAUCUAUAGACUUCAGAUUCUGCUUGGAAUCCCACCGGCUCAAGAAGCACAUGUAUUGUGCAAUUAAUUGUCUUUACACUAAAACAGUUUAAUACAAUCUAACUACGAUUUUGAAACCAGUGUCUGAUUUAUGGUCAGUGGGUUUAAAAAGAAAUCCACAUGCAGAUCUUUUAAGACUUAAAAAGUGAUCAUAGAAAAGACUAAGUGACUGUAAAGAUGCUCUUUUUUUAAGCAUCUCACUUUACCUCCCCAAGCACCCUCCCAAACCUUGUCUUCCCUCUUCUGUUGCAUCCUUUCCCUACCCUUCCCUCCCAGGUGCUCGGUACUUUACCUAGUUUCUAUAUAUCAGUGUUUUAUGUUGGAAUUUUUCCUUGUUUUUAUUUUACUAGUUGGUAAACCCUGUUUAUGCUGAAACAAAUAAGGAAAUGGUAUAUUUGACCAUAUGUGUUAUUCAUAGAAGACAGUAUGAUCAAAUGUGCCAAAAACAAGCAAACAAAACUUAAUUCCUGAGAAGUAUGCCUUAUUUUUAUUGAUCUGCUUUGUCUUACAAUUAAGGUCCAAGAGCUUGGUUAAACUGUAUUAUUUGCCUAAGUAUAAAAGAAAACUUGAACUGCAUUGCAAUAUUGACGUUCUUUAAAAUGAGAGACACUGUCAAGUAAUUUAAUCCAGAGAUCAGCCACCAGAUUUGAAAUGCUUAUGUAUGUGUGUGUGUUUGGAGUUGUUUUUUUCUUUUAAAUCACCAAAUUUUUUUUAAGCUACUUUUUAUUUGUGCCUCCUAUUUAUCAUGCUGAUGUUAGAAGCAGCAGUCAUCCAGCCACAGAGGGAGCUAAAGUUAACUAACCAGAACUGUAGAAAUCAUUAUACAUGCCUUUGACAACAAAGGAAGUUCAUAAGAAAAGCCAUGUCGGCUUUUCCUCUACUAGAUACAGAUUGGAGGUAGAUGAAUAUUUGCCAAAUGGAAAAAAAGACAAUGCUAGUCAGAAAAGACAAACUGUUUUCCAGCUUCUCAAAAAGCCAUGGAGAGUAGAAACCAAAACCAACAGGGAAAUAAAAAACCUUGAAAGUCUCACUUUCUAGUUGUCCCAUGCAGGGGUUGAAAUUUGAUUCCAAGCGGAAAGUAUAUUAUGUUUUUUCAGGCCUUCACAUCUAGAGAGAUGGAUAACUUCCAAUUUGAUUUUUCAGGUAAUAGAGAAAGCUGCUAGUAAUUUUAACCCCUGCCUAAAGAAGACAUAUACUUCAUUUGGGAGCAAAUACUUAUUGCCUUGAAAAGUAGCACUGUAAUAGCCUAUGAUAAUUAGUUGUAGAAUAACCUUUAUCCCUUUCAAACUAUGCAAAUUAUUAAAUAAGUGUAAAUUAGGAUUCAAUUAAAGAUAGUUGAUUAUAUUGCAAUCAGAUGGCAUUCACAAACUUAACUGGAGCAUAUACAAAUAUAUUAGUCUAAGUUUUGUAUGCUAACAGAAAGAUAUAAUUUAGCUACCUAUUCUAAAAAUGGUGAAUAUUAUUAAUAUUGUAUAAUAGGAGUGGGAAGACUGCCUCCUUUUUUGAAGAGAGAGAUUAAGGAUUUUUAUAAUUGUUUUUCAUCAAAUUUUAAUAUUUUUGUCAAAUUUUUAGGUAUUUAAUUUGUAAAACAGUUUGCUUUGUACUGGCAUACAGAAAAUAGGGUAUUGAUUUUAAACUUUUUGAAGCCAAGUG